CAAUUAUAGAUAAAUGAGAAAUCGAAUGCUGCAUUUGUUUGAAGUGGUGAUAUAAAUUGUGAAAUGUUGUGAUACCAAAGCUGGAUUAUUAAGGGAUAUAUUUAUAAAAUUGGUAACAGCAUUGUGCCUCAAAAUGAAAGAAUUAGCCUUUUGCUUGGACUUAAAGCUAGUGGUUUUGUUUAUGAUGGCUUUUGAAGCUAUACAUGCAUGCUGUCAUUACUAUCCUGUAUAUUAUCCAGUGCAUGUUGGAGGUGGGAAAAAACAUAUACAUAUACAUAUGAAAAAUAAUCAUCACCACCAUCAUCAUCACGGUCACGAACACGGACAUCAUCAUCAUCAUGGACACCACCACGGACAUCACCACCAACAUGGACAUCAUCACG
Molecule: non-coding RNA, 383 nt
Organism: Parasteatoda tepidariorum (common house spider)
Lineage: Eukaryota; Metazoa; Arthropoda; Arachnida; Araneae; Theridiidae
Source: RefSeq, a predicted model, not a curated record